AGACGCUAAACACCAAACGUCAAUAGCUGACCAAGACAUCCAUCACACAUACUCUGACAUCGGUGACAGCAGAAGGAGCGAGUAUGAAGACCUUCAGGCCAGCACCAGGUUCAGAGAUGAACCAAAGGAAUAUGAGCAUCUGAGGACAACAGAUCCAGUCCGAAGUGAUGCUUACCAAAACAUCCCAACACCACAUGGCUCAGUUGACGGACCCUCGCCAUUGUAUGAAAACCAAGCUGACAUAUCCAGCACAUCCUUCUGAUGCGUCAGGAAGAGCCUGGUAAUCUCAGCUCUCAACUCAGAGGAAUUUGCGAUCACAUAUAUAUAUAUAUUAUCACUUAUUGGCGAAAACUGAAAAUGACCGAGAUGUUACAUUAAUAAAGGCUAUACAAAGUACAGUGAAUAAAUCG
Molecule: long non-coding RNA, 410 nt
Organism: Haliotis rubra (blacklip abalone)
Lineage: Eukaryota; Metazoa; Mollusca; Gastropoda; Lepetellida; Haliotidae
Exons: 4
Source: RefSeq, a predicted model, not a curated record